This 852-nucleotide ribosomal RNA is filed under the name Corynebacterium sp. RNAcentral describes it as "bacterial SSU rRNA". It matches the Rfam family "Bacterial small subunit ribosomal RNA", at positions 59 to 918 of the family's 1533-position model. Lineage: Bacteria; Bacillati; Actinomycetota; Actinomycetes; Mycobacteriales; Corynebacteriaceae. The record is from RNAcentral.
CAGUCGAACGCUGAACCGGAGCUUGCUUUGGUGGAUGAGUGGCGAACGGGUGAGUAACACGUGGGUGAUCUGCCCUACACUUUGGGAUAAGCCUGGGAAACUGGGUCUAAUACCGAAUAUUCACACCACCGUAGGGGUGGUGUGGAAAGCUUUAUGCGGUGUGGGAUGAGCCUGCGGCCUAUCAGCUUGUUGGUGGGGUAAUGGCCUACCAAGGCGUCGACGGGUAGCCGGCCUGAGAGGGUGUACGGCCACAUUGGGACUGAGACACGGCCCAGACUCCUACGGGAGGCAGCAGUGGGGAAUAUUGCACAAUGGGCGCAAGCCUGAUGCAGCGACGCCGCGUGGGGGAUGAAGGCCUUCGGGUUGUAAACUCCUUUCGCUAGGGACGAAGCCUUAUGGUGACGGUACCUGGAGAAGAAGCACCGGCUAACUACGUGCCAGCAGCCGCGGUAAUACGUAGGGUGCGAGCGUUGUCCGGAAUUACUGGGCGUAAAGAGCUCGUAGGUGGUUUGUCGCGUCGUCUGUGAAAUCCCGGGGCUUAACUUCGGGCGUGCAGGCGAUACGGGCAUAACUUGAGUGCUGUAGGGGAGACUGGAAUUCCUGGUGUAGCGGUGAAAUGCGCAGAUAUCAGGAGGAACACCAAUGGCGAAGGCAGGUCUCUGGGCAGUAACUGACGCUGAGGAGCGAAAGCAUGGGUAGCGAACAGGAUUAGAUACCCUGGUAGUCCAUGCCGUAAACGGUGGGCGCUAGGUGUAGGGGUCUUCCACGACUUUCUGUGCCGCAGCUAACGCAUUAAGCGCCCCGCCUGGGGGAGUACGGCCGCAAGGCUAAAACUCAAAGGAAUUGACGGGG